This 70-nucleotide non-coding RNA is filed under the name unclassified sequences. RNAcentral describes it as "Cyano-1 RNA". It matches the Rfam family "Cyano-1 RNA". RNAcentral also lists the same sequence under 1 other name. The record is from RNAcentral.
AAGUGUGUGAAGGAGCGGUUUUACGGAAUCAGUGGAAACAAGGAAACACUUUAUUUCGUGAAUCCACGAA